This 77-nucleotide transfer RNA is filed under the name Bacillus sp. CPSM8. Its description in RNAcentral is "tRNA-Met". It matches the Rfam family "tRNA". Rfam says of the family: Transfer RNA (tRNA) molecules are approximately 80 nucleotides in length. Their secondary structure includes four short double-helical elements and three loops (D, anti-codon, and T loops). The record is from RNAcentral. Lineage: Bacteria; Bacillati; Bacillota; Bacilli; Caryophanales; Bacillaceae.
CGCGGGGUGGAGCAGUUGGGUAGCUCGUCGGGCUCAUAACCCGAAGGUCGCAGGUUCAAAUCCUGCCCCCGCAACCA